Molecule: ribosomal RNA, 460 nt
Filed under: uncultured bacterium
Lineage: Bacteria
Description: partial 16S ribosomal RNA
Rfam family: Bacterial small subunit ribosomal RNA
Source: RNAcentral
CCUACGGGGGGCAGCAGUGAGGAAUAUUGGUCAAUGGACGAGAGUCUGAACCAGCCAAGUAGCGUGAAGGAUGACUGCCCUAUGGGUUGUAAACUUCUUUUAUAUGGGAAUAAAACGUUCCACGUGUGGGAUUUUGUAUGUACCAUAUGAAUAAGGAUCGGCUAACUCCGUGCCAGCAGCCGCGGUAAUACGGAGGAUCCGAGCGUUAUCCGGAUUUAUUGGGUUUAAAGGGAGCGUAGGUGGAUUGUUAAGUCAGUUGUGAAAGUUUGCGGCUCAACCGUAAAAUUGCAGUUGAAACUGGCAGUCUUGAGUACAGUAGAGGUGGGCGGAAUUCGUGGUGUAGCGGUGAAAUGCUUAGAUAUCACGAAGAACUCCGAUUGCGAAGGCAGUUCACUGGACUGCAACUGGCACUGAGGCUCGAAAGUGUGGGUAUCAAACAGGAUUAGAUACCCUAGUAGUC